Molecule: RNA transcript, 1582 nt
Organism: Cynara cardunculus var. scolymus (artichoke)
Lineage: Eukaryota; Viridiplantae; Streptophyta; Magnoliopsida; Asterales; Asteraceae
Gene name: transcription factor PCL1-like
Exons: 3
Source: RefSeq, a predicted model, not a curated record
AAUAUCUAUCCCCAGUUUCUAUCGUUCACACGUCACCUGAUUUUCGCAAAAUUUCUCAAAUUUCUCCUCACAAUUGUUACCCACACACGCUGAUUCAUUGGAAUCGCUUGAUUUUGCUCUACAAUUCGUUGUUAUGGGAGACGAAGUGAGAAUUUCCGACUAUGAUGUCGGCGGUGCAGAUGACGACGGCCGAGUUUUGGAGUGGGAGGUUGGGUUGCCCAACGUCAACGAUUUGCCGUCGUUGUCACAGUUGCUGAUAUCGGCGGAACUGGCAUAUGCUUUCAGCAUCACGCCGGAGACUCACCGGAGUAUGAAUGACGUCGAUCGCGCUUCUCGCGACACACUCGCGAGUCUCCGAGGGCAGUCGCAGCAUCUGAUGAAUAAAAUUAAUGAUUUAAACUCGUUUAGUGAUGAUAGAGGAGAAGAGAUGGUUGUGGAAGGCGAGGAGACCUUGGAUCUGACUCGAGAGGGUUCGGAUUCGAGGAAAUUACGGAGAGUUGAUAGUGGCGGUGCCGUUGGUGGCGCUGGAGAAGCAGAUGAUUCUUCGACCAAGACAUCGAAACGGACUCGUUUGGUUUGGACACCGCAAUUGCACAAGCGGUUUGUUGAGGUUGUUGCGCGUUUAGGGGUGAAGAACGCGGUUCCUAAAACGAUUAUGCAGUUGAUGAACGUUGAAGGUUUGACGAGAGAGAACGUCGCCAGUCACCUUCAGAAGUAUAGGUUGUAUGUAAAAAGGAUGCAGGGGUUAUCUGACGAAGGGUCGUCGCCUUCGGAUCACUUGUUCGCUUCAACUCCUGUUCCUAAGGGUUUGCACGAUUCCGGUGGCGGUGGUGGAAAUGGAAGUGGAAUGCCCUAUCCACCACAGCUGGUGCCUAUGCCCUACCCACCACCGCAGAUGGUCCCUAAUCCGGCAAGUGGUGGCGGCCGUGCUUAUCAUCAUCACGGUUUCGAGUCACAUUCACAUCCAUAUAAUUAUAAUAUUAUGAUGCAGCCAAGAGACUGGUCUGGAAACAAUUUUGGUUCAAUUUCAGCGUAUCAGCACCGUAUGACUUCUAACGAUGAAUAGAAAUUCUAUAUCCAAUUUGGAUAAUUAUCCAAGCAAAGAGAGAACUUAGUACAUAUGAACUGCAUCAUUAAUCAAGUUAGUUAAUACUUGAUGGAGUAAGGCUCUGCAGACCAACAUCAUGGCUCAAUGUUUUUUCCUUCUUAUAAAAGGAUGGUUCUUCUUCAUCCUAUAAGAAGCAUCAUACCAACAUCCAUCCGUGGAUGUGGACAGAUUGCUGAAUUACAUAAAAUACGAUCUUUUUGGUUCUGCAUUGAAACGGUUGCAUCAAAAUAUUUGUAGAGAAAGAGAGGCGAAGUCUGCUGUAACUUGGGUUUAUCCAAUGAUCAAGUGAAUGCUAUCUCGACUAUUCAGUUGCAUUCAAGCAGAAGAUGGUUGCUGCCACAUUGCCAAGGAUUAUUAGGUACAUACAUAAUUCAAACUUUAUUCAUAAUGUUGCUUUUAUGUUUUCAAUUGAGUUUUGGUACCAUUAUCAAUAUUGAUGUUUGGUUUGUUAAACAAUAAAGUAUAAGAAUUAAU